UUUUUAUGUGGACCUCUGCCCUUGUGCCUCUGGUGCUUGGGUGGAACCACAUAAGCAGGUGAAACUUCUUAGAGGAACUGGCGUUCGAAAAGGCGCACGAGAAAGAGCAAUAACAGGUCUGUGAUGCCCUAAGAUGUCCGGGGCCGCACGCGUGCUACAAUGACGAUGCUACUGAGCAUGAUUAACUUGUCCGAAAGGAUUGGUGAAACUGUUCAAUCAUCGUCGUGACUGGGAUUGGGGUUUGCAAUUGUCCCCCAUGAACCAGGAAUUCCUAGUAAGCACAAGUCAUAAGCUUGUGCUGAUUACGUCCCUGCCCUUUGUACACACCGCCCGUCGCUACUACCGAUUGAAUGGUUUAGCAAGGACAUUGGAUUGAGCCCUUGCGGUUUCGGCUGCUUGGGUUUGAGAAGAUGUCCGAACUUGAUCAUUUAGAGGAAGUAAAAGUCGUAACAAGGUUUCCGUAGGUGAACCUGCGGAAGGAUCAUUA
This 487-nucleotide ribosomal RNA is filed under the name Dactylogyrus rarissimus. RNAcentral describes it as "bacterial SSU rRNA". It matches the Rfam family "Eukaryotic small subunit ribosomal RNA", at positions 1361 to 1831 of the family's 1831-position model. Lineage: Eukaryota; Metazoa; Platyhelminthes; Monogenea; Dactylogyridea; Dactylogyridae. The record is from RNAcentral.